This 541-nucleotide ribosomal RNA is filed under the name uncultured bacterium. RNAcentral describes it as "bacterial SSU rRNA". It matches the Rfam family "Bacterial small subunit ribosomal RNA", at positions 338 to 871 of the family's 1533-position model. The record is from RNAcentral.
CCUACGGGAGGCAGCAGUGGGGAAUUUUGGACAAUGGGCGAAAGCCUGAUCCAGCCAUGCCGCGUGCAGGAUGAAGGCCUUCGGGUUGUAAACUGCUUUUGUACGGAACGAAACGGUCUCUUCUAAUAAAGGGGGCUAAUGACGGUACCGUAAGAAUAAGCACCGGCUAACUACGUGCCAGCAGCCGCGGUAAUACGUAGGGUGCAAGCGUUAAUCGGAAUUACUGGGCGUAAAGCGUGCGCAGGCGGUUAUAUAAGACAGUUGUGAAAUCCCCGGGCUCAACCUGGGAACUGCAUCUGUGACUGUAUAGCUAGAGUACGGUAGAGGGGGAUGGAAUUCCGCGUGUAGCAGUGAAAUGCGUAGAUAUGCGGAGGAACACCGAUGGCGAAGGCAAUCCCCUGGACCUGUACUGACGCUCAUGCACGAAAGCGUGGGGAGCAAACAGGAUUAGAUACCCUGGUAGUCCACGCCCUAGACUAGUCACACGUUGUUGGUUCGGUUCUACUGNUCUAGUACGAACGAUACGACCGNGAGUAGUACG